Molecule: ribosomal RNA, 492 nt
Filed under: uncultured bacterium
Lineage: Bacteria
Description: partial 16S ribosomal RNA
Rfam family: Bacterial small subunit ribosomal RNA
Source: RNAcentral
AGUGAACGCUGGCGGUAGGCCUAACACAUGCAAGUCGAACGGCAGCACAGUAAGAGCUUGCUCUUACGGGUGGCGAGUGGCGGACGGGUGAGGAAUACAUCGGAAUCUACUUUUUCGUGGGGGAUAACGUAGGGAAACUUACGCUAAUACCGCAUACGCCCUACGGGUGAAAGCAGGGGAUCUUCGGACCUUGCGCGAUUGAAUGAGCCGAUGUCGGAUUAGCUAGUUGGCGGGGUAAAGGCCCACCAAGGCGACGAUCCGUAGCUGGUCUGAGAGGAUGAUCAGCCACACUGGAACUGAGACACGGUCCAGACUCCUACGGGAGGCAGCAGUGGGGAAUAUUGGACAAUGGGCGCAAGCCUGAUCCAGCCAUACCGCGUGGGUGAAGAAGGCCUUCGGGUUGUAAAGCACUUUUGUUGGGAAAGAAAAGCGGCAGGUUAAUACCCCGCUGUUCUGACGGUACCCAAAGAAUAAGCACCGGCUAACUUCGUG